AGACGCUGGCGGCGUGCCUAAUACAUGCAAGUUGAACGCUUGAUUUUCACCGAAGCUUGCUUCACCGAAAAUCAAGAGUAGCGAACGGGUGAGUAACGCGUGGGUAACCUACCUAUCAGCGGGGGAUAACUAUUGGAAACGAUAGCUAAUACCGCAUAACAAUGUUGAAUGCAUAUUCGACAUUUGAAAGUACCAACUGGUACACUGAGAGAUGGACCCGCGUUGUAUUAGCUAGUUGGUAGUGUAAUGGACUACCAAGGCGAUGAUACAUAGCCGACCUGAGAGGGUGAUCGGCCACAUUGGGACUGAGACACGGCCCAAACUCCUACGGGAGGCAGCAGUAGGGAAUCUUCGGGCAAUGGACGAAAGUCUGACCGAGCAACGCCGCGUGAGUGAAGAAGGUUUUCGGAUCGUAAAACUCUGUUGUUAGAGAAGAACGUUGCAUAGAGUGGAAAAUUAUGCAAGUGACGGUAUCUAACCAGAAAGGGACGGCUAACUACGUG
Molecule: ribosomal RNA, 503 nt
Filed under: uncultured bacterium
Lineage: Bacteria
Description: bacterial SSU rRNA
Rfam family: Bacterial small subunit ribosomal RNA
Source: RNAcentral